AGGUCAGGCAUUCGAGACCAGCCUGAACAACAUGGUGAAACCCCGUCUCUACUAAAAAUACAAAAAAUUAGCCAGAGACAGGGUUUUACCAUGUUGUACAGGCUAGUCUCCAACCCCUGGGCUUAAGCAAUCCUUCUGCCUCGGCCUCCCAAAGUGCUGGGAUUACAGAGAUGCUCAAGCACUGAAUUGUCUUAAGAAAACAAGUAAGGUUUUGUCACCUAUCCUAUUUCUCACUGCAAGUUGAAAAAAAUCAAAUCCAAACACCACCACCCCUUCUAUGACAACAAACGGCUGUGGAGGUAAUCUUAUUUUCUUAAGGGUAGUUUCAUGAUGACAGUUUCAAAAAAUUACUGUGGAUAAAGAAAAAAUUGUCUCAAUGAAAUAGAAUUUUUCACUGAACACAGAAACCAUCUCAAUAGUUGCUGCUCCCUGGUUUCCAGGCCAUGCAACAGACAUCAAACUAGGAAGCCAAACUUUCAUGGACCUGUG
Molecule: non-coding RNA, 489 nt
Filed under: Pan troglodytes (chimpanzee)
Lineage: Eukaryota; Metazoa; Chordata; Mammalia; Primates; Hominidae
Source: RNAcentral